Molecule: long non-coding RNA, 440 nt
Filed under: Anser cygnoides (Swan goose)
Lineage: Eukaryota; Metazoa; Chordata; Aves; Anseriformes; Anatidae
Description: lncRNA (ENSACDG00005008142.1)
Source: RNAcentral
UAUCCCCCCUAAAAGACCAAUAUGUCCCCCCCAAAUAAUUUAUAACCCUACGAGUUCGGUUUUAACCCCCCAAAAUACGAAUUUUCACCCCCUAAAAUUAAUUUAAAUCCCCCAAAUGCAGUUUUUAGCCCCCAAAUUACCUGUUUUUUUUUACAAAUAAUCAAAUUCUCAUGAAAAAAUUGAAUAAAAUCUAAUUUAAACAAAAAUUUUUCACGGAAUUGAUGAAACGAGGCAGACACAAGUUCUUUAUUUCAAAAGAUGACCAGAAGCGCUUUGUCAUCGCACCUGUAGCAGCUGUGGAGCCCUCAGUCCUCCAGCUCGGAGGACCGACCCCGCGCGUCUCUAUGGUUCCACGCCGGAAGUAAACCGGAAGAGGGGAAGGGGGGGAGGCCGCACUUCCGCUUCCGGGCGGCGGCCUGGCCGGGGCGGCGGAGCCAUGG